Molecule: non-coding RNA, 111 nt
Organism: Lyophyllum atratum
Lineage: Eukaryota; Fungi; Basidiomycota; Agaricomycetes; Agaricales; Lyophyllaceae
Source: the annotation of a GenBank genome assembly
GCAUUAAUGGGGUAGUGGUAACCUGGGUCGUUGCCAUAUUGAUGAUAUUGGUGUGCGCAUACCACCAGCUCUGGAUUCGACCCGCCGGGAGUUCGAUUCUCUCUUAAUGCA